Molecule: ribosomal RNA, 253 nt
Filed under: uncultured bacterium
Lineage: Bacteria
Description: partial 16S ribosomal RNA
Rfam family: Bacterial small subunit ribosomal RNA
Source: RNAcentral
UACGGGGGGGGCAAGCGUUGUUCGGAAUUACUGGGCGUAAAGGGCGCGUAGGCGGCUCGCUAAGUCGGAUGUGAAAACUCUGGGCUCAACCCAGAGCCUGCAUUCGAAACUGACGAGCUGGAGUUCUGGAGGGGAAAGCGGAAUUCCUGGUGUAGCGGUGAAAUGCGUAGAGAUCAGCAGGAAUACCCGUGGCGAAGGCGGCCCCCUGGGCCGAACCUGACGCUGAGGCGCGAAGGCUAGGGGAGCGAACGGG